AUCAGGUGGUUAUUGCAGCGGGGUCCCACCUCUUCCCAUUCCGAACAGAGAAGUUAAGCCCGCCUGCGCCGAUGGUACUGCAAUGCAAUGCGGGAGAGUAGGAGGCCGCCACUU
Molecule: ribosomal RNA, 114 nt
Filed under: Prevotella sp. lc2012
Lineage: Bacteria; Pseudomonadati; Bacteroidota; Bacteroidia; Bacteroidales; Prevotellaceae
Source: RNAcentral